This is a long non-coding RNA of Eriocheir sinensis (Chinese mitten crab), 2197 nucleotides long. RefSeq lists it as uncharacterized. The transcript has 3 exons. The record is from RefSeq and is a predicted model, not a curated record. Lineage: Eukaryota; Metazoa; Arthropoda; Malacostraca; Decapoda; Varunidae.
AGAUGACGAGAGUGUGGAGGGAGAGGAGAAGAGAGGAGAUGAAGGAGAGAGAAGGGCAAGAGAGAAGAGAAAAGGUGAUGGAGAGGAAAGUAGGGAGGAAAGGAGGAAAGGGGAGGAAAAUAGUGAAGAGUAAGAGAGGGAGAAUAGAGGGAAGAAAGGAGAGGAAAAAAUAGGACAGGAGAGGAAAGGGGAGAGGAGGAAAAGGCUAGGAAAGGAGAGAGGAGAGAAAACAAAAAUGGAGAGAAAGUGAGGAGAGACAAGGAGGGGAGGAGAGAAAUGAAGGUUAAGAGAGGAGGAAACAACAAGGAUGGAGAGAAAGAGAGAGAGAGAGAGAGGAGAGGAGAGGCAGGGAGAGGGAUGGAGGGUAAGAGAGGAAAGAAGUCUAAAGAAGGGGAGGAGAAAACAGGACUGGAGGUUAAGAUACGAGAGAUAAGUCAGUUUAGGGGAGAAGGAAGGAGGGAAGGAGAGGAGGGAGAGCGAGGCAGGACAAACGAGUGAACAGGGAAAGCAUAAUGUGUGUUGCCCUAGGACGAGGAGGGUGUGAUGGGCGCCUGAUACGUGCCCAGGAAAGGUGUUAAGAAAGGUAAGUAUAGACGGUGGUGGGAUCUGAAUCUAUUGGAGUUCGUGAGAGAGAAUCCUUUAGACGUGUGGUUAAGGGGAUCGAAGAGUGUUUAGAAGGACAUUAGAAAGAAUUUGAGGGAUACUUCUUGAAAAAUUAUAAGUAGAGGAGGUGAGUCUCAAUGGUGGGAUCUGAAUACAUUGGAGUUCGUGAGAGAGAAUCCUUUAGACGUGUGGUUAAGGGGAUCGGAGUGUUUAGAAGGAUAUUAAAAAGAAUUUGAGGGAUACUUCUUGAAAAAUUAAUAUGUAAAAGAGGUGAGUCUCAAUGGAUGGUGUUGGGAUCUGAAUACAUUGGAGUUCGUGAAAGAGAAUCCUAUCAGACUUGUAGUAAGGGAGGUCAAAGAGUGUUAAGAGAGAUGUUAGUAAGGAUGUGAUUGGAACUUGUUGAAAAAUUAAUCUUACUUUCUCUGGGCAGUGUUGGGAUCUGAAUACAUUGUAGGAGUUUGUAAAUUCAUCCAUAAGCUGUUCGUUGUAAUAUAUUCGUAAUCCUACCGAACGUUAAGUUAAGUAAGCAGAAAGAACGUUAAGUAGGAUGUGAUGAAAACUUAGUGGAGGAUGAAUAUAUAAGAGAGGAGCUUAAAUUACAUAGACAGUGACGGAGUUUAUCAUCAUCAUGUCAGGCUGUGAGGGACUUAUGUUGAGGGCGUGUGAAGAAUACAUAUUGCGCUGUGCUUUUUUUUUAUGGCAACACGGCGUAAAGUGAGAUCAUGAAGAGAGUGAUAGCGAAUAUAUUAACCCGUCCGCUGCGAUUGGCAUGGAUUUCGCCUUCACUGGUAGCCUGGUAACAUACACUCCCAGGUCUUUCUCUGCCUCUGUGGUGGAUAGUGGAGUGUUUCCCAUGUGGUAUUGGUGUGCUGGAUAUCCCUUCACUGGUAGCCUGGUAACAUACACUCCCAGGUCUUUCUCUGCCUCUGUGGUGGAUAGUGGAGUGUUUCCCAUGUGGUAUUGGUGUGCUGGAUAUCCCUUCACUGGUAGCCUGGUAACAUACACUCCCAGGUCUUUUUCUGCCUCUGUGGUGGAUAGUGGAGUGUUUCCCAUGUGGUAUUGGUGUGCUGGAUAUCCCUUCACUGGUAGCCUGGUAACAUACACUCCCAGGUCUUUUUCUGCCUCUGUGGUGGAUAGUGGAGUGUUUCCCAUGUGGUAUUGGUGUGCUGGAUAUCCCUUCACUGGUAGCCUGGUAACAUACACUCCCAGGUCUUUCUCUGCCUCUGUGGUGGAUAGUGGAGUGUUUCCCAUGUGGUAUUGGUGUGCUGGAUAUCCCUUCACUGGUAGCCUGGUAAUAUACACUCCCAGGUCUUUCUCUGCCUCUGUGGUGGAUAGUGGAGUGUUUCCCAGGUGGUAUUGGUGUGCUGGAUAUCCCCUCCCAAAGUACAGGACUUCUCAUUUUUCUUCAUUGAAUUGUAGCAGCCACUUUUUGUUCCACUCCUGUAGCUUGGUGAUGUCUACUUGUAGGAAAUAUGCAGUCAAGGGGUUGAUAAUUCAAAAUAUACGGGUUUGUUAGAUAAAAUUAUGUAGUUUGUGUGUGAUAUAUGAUGCAGGUUUUAGUACACAGCAGACCAAAAAAAAACAAUUACAUGUG